AUUGGUGACGACGUGACUCGUCGAUUCGCUCGUCGCGAUAAUGUUGGUGGCAACUUUCAUCAGACAUCAUCGACCGAUCUCGUUUCGUGUCGUGUCUUAUUUUUCCACCAUCUCAUUCUUGACUUUCGUGGCCAGUUGAUCAGCCCUGAUCACGAUGUACUCUGGCAUCGAUAACGUUUGUGAACAAGAAUCAGAAAUGCAUUAUUCCAUAAAACUCGAAGUCGCAGCACGUGUUUUGCAUAUUAUCUGUUGAGAAAAUAGUGGUGAUUCCAGUUUUGAUGACCUGUCCACGUUGAUGCUGCAUCGCUACGCAAAGGAACCAACUCAUGCGUUUAUUUCGAGCCACCCUGCUGCCUCCAUUUCCCGAAAUAUCUCAUGAAUGAGACAUUUUGUGACGACUUGCUGCUGUCCACAUGUUUUGAACCUUCGUCAUUUUUCGAGGCCCUGCAGCUGUUGACGCAUAGCCAUUGGUACUGGACAAUCCAAAGUACAACAGAAAUGACGGAAAUGCAAAGGAUAACAGCGUCAUCGCGUGGUAGAAAAAUAAAGCUUGUACUGGCCACCUACCGGGCAUUUAGAAAAGCUUAUUUAUUGGACUGCCACUGCCACGGUGUCCGGUUCCCAUUUGAAUCCGAACUUUCGUCGUCGCAACUUGAUGUCUGUCGAUGACUUGGUUUGCAUUUCAACAAAUCAAAUUCUGCUGGCUCAUCUUUCUGUCUAUGAGGCUGCAUCCUCGUCUGGUGAAUGAUUCAUGAUGGGUUAAUCCUCCAUUGCACAAGCAGUUGCAUGUACCACCUCGGUUUUUAAAGGUUGGUUGAAGGAGGUAUCCUAUAGUAAAGGUUCUCUUGUGGUACGUGGUAGCAGUUGAAGAAGCAGUGAACUACCGAUUGAGACCGCGAUAUGCUGUAUUCCAUCUUAUUCUGCAGGCAUAAGAGAUUUUGGGUGUUGUCGUGUCACGGAUUAUGGUUUUGUGGACUGUUACUAGGAGUUCGCUACCUUGGCUUUUCAACUGAUUUCAGGUGGUCUUGUCGACAAUCAGCAAUUGAUUGUUGAAUUGGGAGGAUAUUGACGCGGGGCUGACAUGUUCAACGCCUUUUCUUAUGGGAUUAUGGGUGUCUUGGUGUGUCCGGAUUGCCAGCUAGAAUAUUUUGCUCGUUUCUUCGCUGUUUCUGCUGUCCUGUAGCGCUAGGUAUAUGGGCAAUGUUUGGAAUUGGUUGGCGAGUCCAAUUGGAUGAUACAGUUUUGUGGCCGUUUCCUUCUACUGUCAGGAUGCCUGUGGAUGAUUCAUUUGUCAUUUUGACUUGAGUGUGUGCUGCUUUCUUAUGUUCCUGAGGUUGAUCACAUGUUAGGUGAUACAUGGUGGUUGGCAUGAAGAGGCAUCUAGUAACAAAGUUGCUUCUGGGUUCCGUCUACGCAUGGUGUAUUGUUGAAGUGUAUGUCAAGUCGGGAGUUAACACUGGCUAUUUAGUUGAUCUGCUGAUGUCUUGGAGAUAUACUCCAAGCACACCAAAUGAAGGGUUUCUGGCAUUUUGACGACGAAUUCCAGUGGUAGCGUACAUAACAUAGGAUGUCUUGAUGACACCAAAUGUCAUUGUAAAGAUUAUAAAAAGAUGUUUAAGGUAUUUGACAAAUGUGUUUAAUAAAGUGACUUUUUGGUUAUUCUUAAAUUGACAGGAAAAACCUAAAGUUGGAGGAUGAUGCAUUUGUUUCCUAGUACUAGAGGAUUUUAUACAUUAAAGGGGCUUUCUCUUUAUGCUUGUUUCCAUAAUGGGUAUGGUUUUCAAUCAACUAAAUUGGGUCCAUUUUUUUAAGUAGAGCAGUUAGUUUUUCUUGUACAUAGUUUUCCGUCAUAUAAGUAGUGUCUAGCAGUAUUUUCCUUCUUUAGAUAUAACGUACGGUACUACGUACGUUUAGGUAUAACCUGUUGUAGCACUUUGUGCUUGUGCAAUUUUCUCCCUCCUAUUGAUCAUGUUGUUUGAAGUUGUGUUGUGUGUAUCUGAAUUAUUUGAUAUUCCUUGAAAAUGGCAAAUAUUGCGACAGUCGAGUUUGGUUUCAAAUAAAUGAAACAUUCACACGUAAAA
RNAcentral lists this long non-coding RNA (2081 nucleotides) under Daphnia magna. RNAcentral's name for it is "uncharacterized LOC116929095, transcript variant X4". Lineage: Eukaryota; Metazoa; Arthropoda; Branchiopoda; Diplostraca; Daphniidae. The record is from RNAcentral.